AUUUUCGGGAGAUAAUCUAAUAUAAAUAAUUAUUUUUAUAACAAAGAUAGCCGAAGAAGCAAAAAUUUAUUUUGCCAAUAAAUUUGAAACUCUCAGGCAAAAGGACCGAAAAUG
Molecule: non-coding RNA, 114 nt
Filed under: uncultured Clostridium sp.
Lineage: Bacteria; Bacillati; Bacillota; Clostridia; Eubacteriales; Clostridiaceae
Description: Glycine riboswitch
Rfam family: Glycine riboswitch aptamer
About the family: This family represents the bacterial glycine riboswitch. Glycine riboswitches usually consist of two metabolite-binding aptamers domains with similar structures in tandem. The aptamers cooperatively bind glycine to regulate the expression of downstream genes.
Source: RNAcentral